GGACAGUGGAUGGGCUUCACAUAUGAGGAAGUUAACUUUGCUGGUCUGCCCAGAACACUAAGGAGUUGAAAAAUGAUGGAACACAUUAUAUCGCUAUUUUGGAUCCCUUUCUGACGAAAGAUGAACGGCAGAGUACUGAGAAGCCCUAUGAGCUCGGACGGGAGAUAGAUCUGGGUCAAUAGCCUGAAGGAGUCACGCCAGCUAUUGGCAAGGUCUGGGUUCCAGGGGAUUGUUACCAGGCAAGACAACCACAGAUGGCAGAACAGGGUCUCCGGAUGUGUGUGGACUUUGAGAAACGUCCUUGAUCAUGAGGGGAGCUGGACUGCUUUUCUUUCCAUUUUUCCUCAUCUCUGCCCGCAUUCUGUGAGCUGAUCAGUAUGCAGCCUCCAUCUCAACUUCUCUGUGAAG
Manis javanica (Malayan pangolin) is the source of this 408-nucleotide long non-coding RNA. RefSeq lists it as uncharacterized. The record is from RefSeq and is a predicted model, not a curated record. Lineage: Eukaryota; Metazoa; Chordata; Mammalia; Pholidota; Manidae.